UACGGGAGGCAGCAGUGGGGAAUAUUGCACAAUGGGCGCAAGCCUGAUGCAGCCAUGCCGCGUGUAUGAAGAAGGCCUUCGGGUUGUAAAGUACUUUCAGCGGGGAGGAAGGCGGUGAAGUUAAUAGCUUCACCGAUUGACGUUACCCGCAGAAGAAGCACCGGCUAACUCCGUGCCAGCAGUCGCGGUAAUACGGAGGGUGCAAGCGUUAAUCGGAAUUACUGGGCGUAAAGCGCACGCAGGCGGUCUGUCAAGUCGGAUGUGAAAUCCCCGGGCUUAACCUGGGAACUGCAUUCGAAACUGGCAGGCUAGAGUCUUGUAGAGGGGGUAGAAUUCCAGGUGUAGCGGUGAAAUGCGUAGAGAUCUGGAGGAAUACCGGUGGCGAAGGCGGCCCCUGGGACAAAGACUGACGCUCAGGUGCGAAAGCGUGGGGAGCAAACAGGAUUAGGAUACC
This 454-nucleotide ribosomal RNA is filed under the name uncultured bacterium. Its description in RNAcentral is "bacterial SSU rRNA". It matches the Rfam family "Bacterial small subunit ribosomal RNA", at positions 340 to 786 of the family's 1533-position model. The record is from RNAcentral.